GGUUGUUUAUUGUCAAUAGUUCUGUUUAAAUUAAUCUAACGCGUUAAUUAAUUGUUUAUAUUAAAAUAUUUUUGUUGCAUAUUAUUAAGAAAAUGUUAAUUUAUAUUUGUAUAUAAAAUAUUUAUGAAAAGUGUUUUGUAAAUUAGUAAAAAAAGUUGUUAGAACAGUUUCAAAACCGAAAAAGAACAAAUUUGCCAAAUAUUGUAAAGGCGGUCACAGUUUUCUGUUUCCAGAGCCAUGCGUAAGCAGACAAACAGUGGAUGAGUUAUGGACAGAAAAAGAAUGUUGUUCAAUGGGAGUGCAAGUAUAUGCAAGUGAAGCAUUACUGAAUACUAUGUUGUUGUUGGCGGCAAAAUGUGAAAAAAAAGUAAUAGUGUUUUUUGCUGUAAAAUGACAACAACAACAAAAGAUCUAAACAGUGAUGGCUAAUUUGGUAGCAAAUACUUUUUGUAAAACUAUCAAGAGUUUUUUUAUGCCAAUGAUGACUGAUUUAACCUUGAGUGUAUAAAAGUUCCAUUUUUUGCUUAAACUUAAUAUGAUUUUUUAUUACAACAUUAUUAACACUCACAUAAAAUUAACGAAAAGAAGUGUGAAAAAUACUAAUAUGACGGAAAGCAGGAAGGACUUGUAGAGGAGGUGGGUCGAUGGCAGGACAAAAUGACAAAACGUUUAAUGGAAGGAAAGUUAAGUUAAAAGUGAAAGGAAGGGAAAGGAAGAAAAGAUAAUGAUGGCAAAAAAGA
Molecule: long non-coding RNA, 740 nt
Organism: Lucilia sericata (common green bottle fly)
Lineage: Eukaryota; Metazoa; Arthropoda; Insecta; Diptera; Calliphoridae
Exons: 3
Source: RefSeq, a predicted model, not a curated record